GACGAACGCUGGCGGCGUGCCUAAUACAUGCAAGUCGAACGCUUUUUCUUUCACCGGAGCUUGCUCCACCGAAAGAAAAAGAGUGGCGAACGGGUGAGUAACACGUGGGUAACCUGCCCAUCAGAAGGGGAUAACACUUGGAAACAGGUGCUAAUACCGUAUAACACUAUUUUCCGCAUGGAAGAAAGUUGAAAGGCGCUUUUGCGUCACUGAUGGAUGGACCCGCGGUGCAUUAGCUAGUUGGUGAGGUAACGGCUCACCAAGGCAACGAUGCAUAGCCGACCUGAGAGGGUGAUCGGCCACACUGGGACUGAGAAAGGGCCCAGAAUCCUACGGGAGGCAGCAGUAGGGAAUCUUCGGCAAUGGACGAAAGUCUGACCGAGCAACGCCGCGUGAGUGAAGAAGGUUUUCGGAUCGUAAAACUCUGUUGUUAGAGAAGAACAAGGAUGAGAGUAAAAUGUUCAUCCCUUGACGGUAUCUAACCAGAAAGCCACGGCUAACUACGUGCCAGCCGCCGCCGUAA
Molecule: ribosomal RNA, 523 nt
Filed under: uncultured bacterium
Lineage: Bacteria
Description: partial 16S ribosomal RNA
Rfam family: Bacterial small subunit ribosomal RNA
Source: RNAcentral